GACGAACGCUGGCGGCGUGCUCAACACAUGCAAGUCGAACGGAAAGGCCCUGCUUUUGUGGGGUGCUCGAGUGGCGAACGGGUGAGUAACACGUGAGUAACCUGCCCUUGACUUUGGGAUAACUUCAGGAAACUGGGGCUAAUACCGGAUAGGAGCUCCUGCUGCAUGGCGGGGGUUGGAAAGUUUCGGCGGUUGGGGAUGGACUCGCGGCUUAUCAGCUUGUUGGUGGGGUAGUGGCUUACCCAGGUGUUGACGGGUAGCCGGCCUGAGAGGGUGACCGGCCACGUUGGGACUGGGGUACGGCCCAGACUGCUACGGGAGGCAGCAGUGGGGGAUGUUGCAGGAUGGGCGGAAGCCUGAUGCAGCAACGCCGCGUGCGGGAUGACGGCCUUCGGGUUGUAAACCGCUUUCGCCUGUGACGAAGCGUGAGUGACGGUAAUGGGUAAAGAAGCACCGGCUAACUACGUG
Molecule: ribosomal RNA, 468 nt
Filed under: uncultured bacterium
Lineage: Bacteria
Description: partial 16S ribosomal RNA
Rfam family: Bacterial small subunit ribosomal RNA
Source: RNAcentral